RNAcentral lists this transfer RNA (63 nucleotides) under Rattus norvegicus (Norway rat). It matches the Rfam family "tRNA". Rfam says of the family: Transfer RNA (tRNA) molecules are approximately 80 nucleotides in length. Their secondary structure includes four short double-helical elements and three loops (D, anti-codon, and T loops). Further hydrogen bonds mediate the characteristic L-shaped molecular structure. tRNAs have two regions of fundamental functional importance: the anti-codon, which is responsible for specific mRNA codon recognition, and the 3' end, to which the tRNAs corresponding amino acid is attached (by aminoacyl-tRNA synthetases). tRNAs cope with the degeneracy of the genetic code in two manners: having more than one tRNA (with a specific anti-codon) for a particular amino acid; and 'wobble' base-pairing, i.e. permitting non-standard base-pairing at the 3rd anti-codon position. Lineage: Eukaryota; Metazoa; Chordata; Mammalia; Rodentia; Muridae. The record is from Rfam by way of RNAcentral.
GGGGAUUUAGCUCAGUGGUAGAGCGCUUGCCUAGCAAGCGCAAGACACUGGGUUUGGUCCCCA